This 5757-nucleotide long non-coding RNA is filed under the name Amborella trichopoda. RNAcentral's name for it is "long non-coding RNA (ATRI_LNC002845)". Lineage: Eukaryota; Viridiplantae; Streptophyta; Magnoliopsida; Amborellales; Amborellaceae. The record is from RNAcentral.
CUUUAUGAUUUCAGAGCAUUAAAAAUUAGCAUCUAGAAAAGGAAUAAAACCUCUUGUAACUGCACAAACAAUUGGUAUAUAUAUAUAUAUUAAAAAAAAAAAAAAAGGAUAUGUGGUAGAGUUUUGUGCUUUUCAUAUAUCAUUCCGCACCUUGUAGUGUCACAUAUGGGACCAGAGUUUGAAAUACUCACGUUUUUUUACCAUAAUGUGUUCUAGCUUUAGAAAUUAAUAUAAGUUAUAAUUUAUAUCUUUCAUGAAACUCAGAUAUUCCUAAUUAUGUGAAGAUGAUCACGAUUUUGCUUAGCUCUUAAAUUCUCAAAGGUAACUUUACAUCUACAAUAAACAAUAUAAAUUCCUUUGCUUUUUUUUUUCAUGCUAUAGAUAGUUAACAUUACUAAUUGAAUAUUUAACUUAAAGAUUAUUCUUUUAAUGAUAAAUGAAUACUUUUUAUAAACACUUACCUAUUUGCUAUUUAUGAGAUUUAUAUUGUUUUCAUAAGAAACAUGACAUGUCCUUUGGUACGUUCAAUUGAACUCAAGUUAUUAUGCUAAUUAUUUUCAUAUGUUCAUGUCCCAUUAAUGUAAUUAUGUGUGCUCAAAUUUUACUAUUCUAAUCUCAAUUCCCUUUAUGCAUUUGCACGCUAUGCUUAAGGGUGUGGAUUUUAUAAGGCGGUAACCUUAUUGUAGUGUUUUAUACCAUCCAUUUUAAUUAGAUGAUGUAAGUUUGGCACAUUUUCUUAGAUAAUGCGAAAAUCUAACACGUUUUUUGAGAUAUUGUCAAAUCUACAUUUGCCAACUAAAAUGGAUGGUGUAGACUGCAACCUUAUUUCUACUCUACAAGUGAGGUUCAUGUUCCUUACACUUAGAACAUGGUUUAAGUUCACAUUAUGUUUAAAAUAUCCUUGUCUUUUAAGAAAUAAUUUAACAUAAGCUUUUGUCAUUGUUCUUGAUAAUUUUGGUUUUCUAGUUCUUUUUUUAAAUGAAAAAUUUUGGGGCAAAUCUUUUCUGAAAGUUUAGUUUGUUUGUUAGUUUUCCUCCACACUUUGUUAAGCAACUAUCAUGGCAGAAACUAAUCACACUUAUAUGCUAUCAAGCGAUUGUUUCCUAUAAUACAACAUCCUAAUAGUAGAGUUACAUAAGGCAAUUGGGUUGAGUUGUCCUGUCGACCCAAACAACACAACUUGGGUCCAGGCUUAGGUCGGUCUGGUUUGGGUGGCUCGGCCAGAUAUAUUUAUAUAUACAAUAUCUAUAACAAAUAUUUUCAUGUAUUAAAAUAUAUAAUAAAAAAGAUCUAGACUUUUUUUAUUUAGACCAAGACCUGACCCUACCCAGUGGCUCAUGUUCAGGUCCAAUGACUUGGACCCAACCUGUGUACAUGUCCAACAUGGACCCAUUCAGGUCAGCUCCAGGUCAGUCGGCCCCCACCAUACCCGUUUACAACCCCAAGUGAACUUAGGAUCUCAUACUCCAAAAAUUUUAAACAUUAUAAAUGCCAUUGUGGUGUGCUUUAUAUGGCAGGGCAUAUUCUAAUUUUACAAUCUGCAAUAAUUUUUUGAAUUUACAAUAGAUUUAUUUCCUCCCUUGAUUCUCUCUUUAUUUUGGAUUGGUGAAAAUAUAUUAAUUUCAAUCAUCCCUUUCCAUCAGAUGUAGCACUAGUCUGUGAAUGGAACAUGAACAGUAUUUGAAGUUUGAUAAAAUAUUUUAAAAUUUUGUGCAUAGAAAUAAGACAUUCUUAAUCACACGAUUUUACAUCCGAUAACUAGAAGUGAUUGUUCUUUCUUGUAACAAAGACGAAGUCCCAACAAGUAAAUGUUUAACAUUACGGACCAAUACACUACAGGUCAAAUGUUUUGCAGUACUCACCGUUACAAUUGUGUAUGAUUUGUUGUUAAAAAACUUGAUACUUUUUAAAAUGAUUAUUGACAUACCAAACCAAACUAGGGAGACUCAAUUCAUUAUGGCCAUUUUUCUCAAGUUCACCCAAAUUUCUAGUCGACAUGGCAAAUCGAUAGAGAAGUUUAAAAAUAGUCUAUAGAAUUUUGGUAUGAAUGUUAGAUACCUAACCAAUACUCCCCAAAACCAUUGGGUGAUAAAAAAGCGGAAAGUUAGGCCUUUAAACCACCGAGGAUCUUUACAUACACGCCCCUCGGCUGAGGUUAGGUCUCACUCUAAGGUGGCUCUCACUCUCUAUGGCAGCUUUCAUUCUAAUACUUAUUUAUUCGAGUAGUCAUUUUUAUAGGUAGCCUUUUCCACCGGUCGCCUUGGACCUAGGUCAUAGUUGCUCUGAUACCAAAUUAGGUACCUAACCAAUAGGACCCAAAACCUUUGGGUGAUAGAAACACAUAAAGUUAGGCCCUUAAACUGCCAAAUAUCGUUAUAGGUUCAUACGAUCCCAAAUAGUUGGGAUAACGCUCAAAAUGAUGAUGAUGAUGCUUAAGUUUACAUGGAAUUUAGACCUAAUACCAAAUCCCUCCCCUUAAUUUGGUCUAUAUUGAACCAAUAUGUGGGAGGGAAUGUAAACAAUUUAAUUUAGAAAAAAAACGGAAGUGUUUUCAAUGCAUGAAUUGGUUCCAACAUCCAUGUCAUAACCAAAUUUUUGUUUUGACCAGUGUUUUAAACACGAACCAGUGGGGUGGAUCCGCUUUAGCCUGAUCACCGUUUCCGAUCUGCAUUAGGGCAAAUUGGCAAUAGAAAUACAAUAAAAAUUAAAGCACAAAAAAGAAGAAGAUUUGUGGAGAGCCAUUUUUCAUAGUUUUUUCCUUGAUGAUUUAAGAACUAACAAAUAAAAACAUAAUUUUUCUCUAAAUGGAAGAAAUUUCCAAAGAUUUUGACAUAUGAAGGGCCGAACCAACCGAUUCUAACCAGGACUUGGGGCGGCAAACCAAAUCACUUAUUUUUUUUAAAUCACUAAUAUUGACAUUUGAAUAAGUAAAGGUGGAAUUUAAGAUGAAAAUUGUACCUCGGAAAGCACUUCCCUAAAAACAAUAUUAUGCAUCGACUACUUGUUCUGAAAUAUUUUUACUUCCUAAAAAAAAAUUGAAUUCAUAAAAAAUUGAGCAAGCAUCUCCCAAAAUUAGAUUUUUACCAUGGGAGCAAAUGAACACCAUGCUCCUGCCAAAGCCGGGAAAUGUUUUCACAUUAGUUAUUAGUAUCGGACCCAAGGCCAAUAAGAAAGCCCAAAGUUAUUAUAUGGUCCAUUUAUGCCUUCGGUGAAACCCAUCUAGGAUUAAUUUUAGGACCAUUUUGGAGAUCUAAGCACUUCAACCUCAUAGAUUAACCUCAAUAAUAAUAAAAACUCUUUAAUUGUACCUUGUAUCCUAACGAUUGAAUAGAGGCCGUCCAAUUUUUAGUGGGUGAAAUCUAAGUGUUAAAAGACUAAAAUUUGAAUUUUUUAGAGGGUGAGAUCUAAGCAAUAGAAAACUCAAAUUUGAAUUUUUUAAAACAAUUAUAUAGAAUUAUUAGAUAAUUCCCCAAAUUUUAGAUUGCGAAAAACUUCCUAAGUACGUACCGUGACCGAGGGAGUAGAUGCAUACUAUCACAUAAAAAUAAAACAAAACUCCAUAAAAGGAGGCUUAGGUUACCAUAUGGAUUUGAACCUACUCUAGCGGAUGCCAUUGUCAUUAGAGGAUCUAACAAAAUUCUACAAAAAUAUGGAUAGGAAUAAUUAUAUGGUGCAGGUUGUAUAGACAAUCAAAGUAAAGCGCAUCUUCGAAAUAUGGUUUCAAUACUGAAAAUCUUUGUGAUAGGCUUAGGUUACCAUAUGGAUUUGAACCUACUCUAGCGGAUGCCAUUGUCAUUAGAGGAUCUAACAAAAUUCUACAAAAAUAUGGAUAGGAAUAAUUAUAUGGUGCAGGUUGUAUAGACAAUCAAAGUAAAGCGCAUCUUCGAAAUAUGGUUUCAAUACUGAAAAUCUUUGUGAUAGCCUUAAAAUAUAUUUUCAUCUUUAAUUAUAAAAUUUAAAGUUUCAAAAAUAGUGCAAAUCGAGCAGAUCUAUGAAAACUUGAAAAUUAACGAUCCAAACAUGCGUUACAAGAUGCAUUAUUUUCGAAACUUGAAAUCCAUUUUUUUCUCAUGUCCAUGCAUUUGGAUGUCGAGAUGAUCAACUUGAGGAUAUUUGGGCAUCAAAAUAACUUCUUCUAGUGAAAUAUUUGAGGUAGGUUCUAAUUUGAUUGUUUAGAGCCUCGACUCUAUAUAAACUUUUCCUUAUUAUAUUGAUUUGAACCUAUUUUACUAGUCAUUUGUCACUUGAGUGCCGCUCUAUAUAAACUUUUUCCUUAUUAUAUUAUAUUGAUUUGACCCUAUUUUAGUGGAUGUCAAUUGUCACUUGAGUGCCGCUUCUUGUUGAGGCAUUUCUUUGGUCACUACCCAAUACAAUUACAUUAAAUAUAGAAAAAAGACUUCGUUCUCCUAAGGGAGUAUACUAUUUAUUUCCUCUCUCGGGCAAAAUACAUGCUAGGAAUACUAGUUAGAUCUCAAAUUUUGGGGAUGCAAUCUUUACGACCUAUUGAAUAAUCUUAGUGAAAAAAAUUUCAGAAACAAACUCCCAAUGUAAUAAAAAAAACUAAUGCCUCAAGAUUAAAUAGAGACGGUCAUAUUUUUAAAGGGCUAGAUUUAACUGUCACAAAACUCAAAAUUCAAAUAUUUCUCUUAAAAAUAAUCAUCUAGAAACUUUUGUAUGGUUUCCAAAGUUUUAGUCGAAAAAACUAACUGUGUUUUGACCAAGGAAGUAGAUACCCAGAAUGUUCCCGCAGGAGUGGCAGGAGCACAUUAUAUGCACUCUUAAAUAUAUUCCAUUUGUAAUGUGAUAUUUUGAUCAAUUGAUUGACCGUCAAAAAUAUUUUAUUUUUAAUAUUUCUCUACACAUUAUAUAAAUAUGAAAUUUGAUAGCUGCCAUCGUCUCAAUAAUCAUCUCAAUAGGGUACACUUAAAAAAUAUUUUUUGAUAAACUACAAUGAUCAAAUACCCUUAAAUCUUUCAAAGGCAUUUUGAUCAUUUUAUUUUUUUAGUAAUAUUAUUUUUAUAUUUCGACAGGUGCAAGUUUUAGAGAAGAAUGGAUGCCAAAAUUUGGUGUCAAAAUUUUUUGUAGAAAAAAAUCCAAAAUAAAAUAAUUUAGAGAUGUGACAUUGUGAUUGGGACCAUCUCAGCUGUCCAUUUAAAAUGAUCGGUUGAAUAGGGAGAAAUAUGUAUAUAUAUUUUUUUACAAUAAAAGUAUAGAGGGAUGUAUUAAAACUAAAAAUUUGCACCUUUUUUAGAAAAUAAUAACUUGAAAAAAGCAGAUCCGAGUUCUUGAAUGCCUUUAUUCACCAUUUAUCAAAUGGACAGCCUACGUUGAGAGCAUAGAGUCAUUUCCUACUCUCCUUUUUUUUUUGUUUUUGCUGCAAAUUUUUUUCCUUUUUUUUAAGAAGUUUUGGCACCAAAAGUACAUCUUAUGAUAAAAUUUAGAGGUGCGCCUUAAUUUGAUUGUUUAAAGUUGCAGCCCUAUACAAACCACACCCUUUUUUUUUCACUGCCUCGAAAAAGUGAAUAUGUGCGAAAUUUAAGGUUUCCACAAACCCCUCUAGAUCCAAUAGACCUAUGCUACAGUAUAAGCUCAUGGGCUUUAUAUUAUAACGGUUCUCUGUCAAUCUAAGUAUUGCGGUAGAGCUGACCAAUAUCUUGAUGGACGAUUGAGAUUUGUCAAGAGGUUGCUCAAAUUGGAUCCUUGUUGAGAUUUGCAUGAAGAUAAAGAGAGAAAGGAAAGUGAGAGAGUAUCACCAUG